This 443-nucleotide ribosomal RNA is filed under the name uncultured bacterium. Its description in RNAcentral is "partial 16S ribosomal RNA". It matches the Rfam family "Bacterial small subunit ribosomal RNA", at positions 338 to 795 of the family's 1533-position model. The record is from RNAcentral.
CCUACGGGCGGCAGCAGUGGGGAAUAUUGGGCAAUGGAGGAAACUCUGACCCAGCAACGCCGCGUGAAUGAUGAAGGUCUUCGGAUUGUAAAGUUCUUUUCUACGGGAAGAAGAAAGUGACGGUACCUUAGGAAUAAGCCUCGGCUAACUACGUGCCAGCAGUCGCGGUAAUACGUAGGAGGCGAGCGUUAUCCGGAAUGACUGGGCGUAAAGGGUGCGUAGGUGGUUUGGCAAGUUAGUAGGGUAACUCCAAGGCUCAACCUUGGAACUACUACUAAAACUGUUGGACUUGAGUGCAGGAGAGGCAACCGGAAUGCGUGGUGUAGCGGUGGAAUGCGUAGAUAUUAGGAGGAACACCAGUGGCGAAGGCGGGUUGCAAGAUUGUAACUGACGCUGAGGCACGAAAGCGUGGGGAGCGAACAGGAUUAGAUACCCUUGUAGUC